UACAGAGGGUGCAAGCGUUAAUCGGAUUUACUGGGCGUAAAGCGUGAGUAGGUGGCUCGCUAAGUCGAUUGUGAAAGCCCUGGGCUCAACCUGGGAAUUGCAGUCGAUACUGGUGAGCUAGAGUUCGGUAGAGGGUGACGGAAUUCCCGGUGUAGCGGUGAAAUGCGUAGAUAUCGGGAGGAACAUCGAUGGCGAAGGCAGCUCUCUGGGACGGUACUGACGCUGAGACGCGAAAGCGUGGGGAGCGAACAGG
Molecule: ribosomal RNA, 253 nt
Filed under: uncultured bacterium
Lineage: Bacteria
Description: partial 16S ribosomal RNA
Rfam family: Bacterial small subunit ribosomal RNA
Source: RNAcentral